GAGAAAUUGAAAGCUGAAGCUACCAUGGAAAGGAAUGACUUUGCAUAUCUUAUAGAGGGGAUGGAAGACCAAGCAAAUGGUAUGUAUGUGUGAACUCUUUUUACUUGCACACAUCUCUUUUGUAUAAUUUAUUAUAACAAAUAUUCAUUAAUAUAUGACUUGACCUGAAGAAGGACAGAUGCAGGUAAUUGCACAUGUUGAUCUCUGACUGUUUAGGUUUCUUUAGUGCAGAUCUAUGGUCAGAUCCGCUGUAAAUAAUCACAAUGGUACACAAAGUCUUAAAGAAAAAAAGUAACUAAUUUAACAUUAAAAACACAUGUAUUUAGUGUAAAAUGAGAAGGGCUUAGCCUUAAAGAAAAUGAUUUGCCAUCCUGUGCAGCUGGCUUGUCAGUAUUGCAAUAUUGUGAUUAUCACAACAACCCUACUUGGGCUGCUCUUAAUCCUGCACUUAAACCAUUUAUUGUAUUUCUAAUCGGUUUUCAUUAAUUUUUCAGAUGAAAAGUGCUACCCAAUGCUGGUUGUUCUGGCAUAUCUUCUGCCACCGUUGCCUGGAAGUCGCUGCAGUGUUAAAUAUGAAAUUUAAUUCCUUCAAUUUCCAUUUGUACCGCCUGGAGCCAUAUUGCAUCCCUCUGCAGCAGUUUUGAGACCGCAUCAAAGACCAGACCACAGCCAAUCUACAUUGAGAGUUUGAAGAGCACAACAUGACAAUACAUUGCGACGAUUGACAAAAUGACCAUUUCUGUGGAUGAGGGCCUGACGUGCUGUGGACAAGAUAUUCUAGGUGUGAAACUUCUGUCCACCACAGAUUAGUUCUGUCUUCACUUUCUAAGACUGGGACAUCUAAUAUUGAAACGCCACAUUCUCUUCCUUUUAAAACUGACAUUCCUACUUACUGUGCCUCUUUUGUGGCCCAAAUGUAUUCUUCAUCAAAUACAACUAGUGGAUGUAACAAGAAGUAUUACUUCACAAUUAGCACACUUACAAUUUUACAAUAUUUACAACAUUGAUUGUCAUUGAGAACAAUUUCAAAAUAUG
This 1035-nucleotide long non-coding RNA is filed under the name Sinocyclocheilus grahami. RNAcentral's name for it is "lncRNA (ENSSGRG00000007274.1)". The record is from RNAcentral. Lineage: Eukaryota; Metazoa; Chordata; Actinopteri; Cypriniformes; Cyprinidae.